GAUGAACGCUAGCGGCAGGCUUAACACAUGCAAGUCGAGGGGUAUAGGGAGCUUGCUUCCUAGAGACCGGCGCACGGGUGCGUAACGCGUAUGCAAUCUACCUUUUGCAGAGGAUAGCCCAGAGAAAUUUGGAUUAAUACCUCAUAGUAUAGCAGUUUCGCAUGAAACCACUAUUAAAGUCACAACGGCAAAAGAAUGAGCAUGCGUCCCAUUAGCUUGUUGGUAAGGUAACGGCUUACCAAGGCAACGAUGGGUAGGGGUCCGUGAGAGGGAGAUCCCCCACACUGGUACGU
Molecule: ribosomal RNA, 293 nt
Filed under: uncultured bacterium
Lineage: Bacteria
Description: partial 16S ribosomal RNA
Rfam family: Bacterial small subunit ribosomal RNA
Source: RNAcentral